UGGCCCCCCAAUUCUCCAGUCCCUGCCUGCGCCUCAUCUUUCCUGGCUGUGGCCACAUUUCUGAAAGUGAUGUUUCCUUUGGUGGCCAGCGUGGCCCUCCCACUUCCUGGUCCCGGGCGAGGAGCAGGCACCUCAGAUUCCUGAGCCCAGAGCCAGUUGGAUGCUGCCGGUGGCAUCCCGGGGGUGGGGGGGGCUGGAAGGUGGGAGGCACCCUGAGCCCAGGCAGGACUGACGAGGGGACAGUGGCCAUUCUUGCCAGGUCCUCACCCCCAGCGACGCCAUCAUUCAGGACUCGCACACUUACGAGGCGCCUUGUAAAUGCUUCACACACGGACGACUCAGCCCUGCAAUGACUAUGGGGGGUAUCGUCACUCCAGGUUUGGACUGGGAGUCACGGGGAAGAGGUCUGUUCCCGGGAGUAACAGAAGGUGGAGGCAGGAUCAGCACCAGCCUGGCCGACUCCAGAGUCGAGAACAGCCUGGUCCACUAAGGUUACAGCCAAAACGCAGGCCCUGGACGAGGCGGGACCAGCUCCUCUCCGGAGUGUAUGCAGUAGGCACUCAGCAGUGCGCGUGGUGUGCUCACUGGAUACUCACUGACAGCUGAACCGAGAGACAGAGCCACCUCAUCCAAGCCAGUCCCUUCUGUGCAGAGUGAGGGUUCAGGGCCCCUCUCCUUCUUGGGGUGACCCGGACGUCACAGCCCAUGUGUCUGUGACUUGGGCGAACUCCUGGUCCUGUGGAUGUUGGUGGUACCCAUUGGGCAAAGAUGAGGGUGUAGUUCAGAGGAGCAGAGGAUUGUCAAGAAAGAGGCAGGAGGCGGGACACCUGGCCCUCCGAAGACGGGCGAGCCUGGAGCAGUGCCUGGAGCCUGGCAGUGGGUGUUGGCUUGAUGCACGGUGCUCACGGCACCUCCUCCCUCCCUCCUCCUGGAGCAGACGGUGCCUGUGAUGUCUCCUGUCGGCUCUGCUCUCACCGGCUUCCUGGCCGGGGCCUGGUUCCCGGCCUUGAGCUCUCUUGGAAGGAAGUGCCCACUUAGAGGAAGUGCACAGAGGUAGUGAGCUCCCUCCUCAGGCGGGGCCAGCAGCUAAAAGGUGGGUGGAGCCCGC
Molecule: long non-coding RNA, 1108 nt
Organism: Myotis brandtii (Brandt's bat)
Lineage: Eukaryota; Metazoa; Chordata; Mammalia; Chiroptera; Vespertilionidae
Exons: 3
Source: RefSeq, a predicted model, not a curated record